GAUGAACGCUGGCGGCGUGCCUAAUACAUGCAAGUCGAGCGAACGGACGAGAAGCUUGCUUCUCUGAUGUUAGCGGCGGACGGGUGAGUAACGCGUGGAUAACCUACCUAUAAGACUGGGAUAACUUCGGGAAACCGGAGCUAAUACCGGAUAAUAUUUUGAACCGCAUGGUUCAAAAGUGAAAGACGGUCUUGCUGUCACUUAUAGAUGGAUCCGCGCUGCAUUAGCUAGUUGGUAAGGUAACGGCUUACCAAGGCAACGAUGCAUAGCCGACCUGAGAGGGUGAUCGGCCACACUGGAACUGAGACACGGUCCAGACUCCUACGGGAGGCAGCAGUAGGGAAUCUUCCGCAAUGGGCGGAAGCCUGACGGAGCAACGCCGCGUGAGUGAUGAAGGUCUUCGGAUCGUAAAACUCUGUUAUUAGGGAAGAACAUAUGUGUAAGUAACUGUGCACAUCUUGACGGUACCUAAUCAGAAAGCCACGGCUAACUACGUG
This 497-nucleotide ribosomal RNA is filed under the name uncultured bacterium. RNAcentral's name for it is "partial 16S ribosomal RNA". It matches the Rfam family "Bacterial small subunit ribosomal RNA", at positions 28 to 507 of the family's 1533-position model. The record is from RNAcentral.